UACAUGGGGUGCAAACGUUGCUCGGAAUUAUUGGGCGUAAAGCGCACGUAGGCGGUUCGUUAAGUCGGAUGUGAAAGCCCUCGGCUCAACUGAGGAAGUGCACCCGAAACUGGCGAGCUUGAGUACGAAAGAGGAUCGCGGAAUUCCCGGUGUAGAGGUGAAAUUCGUAGAUAUCGGGAGGAACACCGGUGGCGAAGGCGGCGACCUGGACGGCACUGACACUCAACUACGAAAGCGUGGGAGC
Molecule: ribosomal RNA, 244 nt
Filed under: uncultured bacterium
Lineage: Bacteria
Description: partial 16S ribosomal RNA
Rfam family: Bacterial small subunit ribosomal RNA
Source: RNAcentral